AAAAGAAGCUUUUAUCUUUUGCAGGUACGUGCUCUGCUGAGCACUCUGUCAGGUCUGUGACAGUCAACAGCAAAUAAGGAUCUGCAAUGCAGAGCACAAGUUGUCAUUAUCAACUGAGACAUUCCAUCUAAAACCAGAUGGAGAGAGAUGCCACUCCUUGUUUUACAAAAUGCACAUUGAGAAGAGCUGGGUUCUAGUCACGCCCUCAAAAGAUGGAAGCACAGACCAAGUUAUGUAACCUCUCCAGGCUACUUCUGUCCUGAACUGCAGCGGUCUCUGAGGUAGGUCAGCUUCCCUUCUCAUUUGUUCCAUGGUUUCUGGGAAGAUUUCCACCUGGAAUAAAGUUUACAAGAGCAAAGAUAAGAAUGUCA
RNAcentral lists this long non-coding RNA (371 nucleotides) under Cyanistes caeruleus (blue tit). Its description in RNAcentral is "lncRNA (ENSCCEG00000013995.1)". The record is from RNAcentral. Lineage: Eukaryota; Metazoa; Chordata; Aves; Passeriformes; Paridae.